This 25-nucleotide ribosomal RNA is filed under the name Chamaedoris delphinii. RNAcentral's name for it is "5.8S ribosomal RNA". The record is from RNAcentral. Lineage: Eukaryota; Viridiplantae; Chlorophyta; Ulvophyceae; Cladophorales; Boodleaceae.
ACACUGUACAAUGGAUUUCUCGGCU